AGAUUAAUAAAUUAACCAGACUUGUGCAACAUGUAUUUGAGCUGCUUUGAGUCACAUUUGAUUUGCUCAGUAUUUACCUGUGGAGUUUAACUCACUGACUCAGACUCCACAGGGAAAACCUCCCACAGAUAGAUUGCUUCAUUUGGAUGUGCAUUGAAAUAGGGUUGAUUCGGAUGAACCGGCUGAAACACAUUUUGCACACGUGUAAUGUUAUGUUCC
Molecule: non-coding RNA, 219 nt
Organism: Pelobates cultripes (western spadefoot toad)
Lineage: Eukaryota; Metazoa; Chordata; Amphibia; Anura; Pelobatidae
Source: the annotation of a GenBank genome assembly